Molecule: ribosomal RNA, 881 nt
Filed under: Hermatomyces turbinatus
Lineage: Eukaryota; Fungi; Ascomycota; Dothideomycetes; Pleosporales; Hermatomycetaceae
Description: partial large subunit ribosomal RNA
Rfam family: Eukaryotic large subunit ribosomal RNA
Source: RNAcentral
CACAUACGGAGAAAGAACCAAACAGGGAUUGCCCUAGUAACGGCGAGUGAAGCGGCAAGAGCUCAAAUUUGAAAUCUGGCUCCUUUGGAGUCCGAGUUGUAAUUUGUAGAGGGUGCUUUGGUGUCGGCCAUGGCCUAAGUUCCUUGGAACAGGACGUCACAGAGGGUGAGAACCCCGUACGUGGCUGCUGGCCUUCACCAUGUAAAGCCCCUUCGACGAGUCGAGUUGUUUGGGAAUGCAGCUCUAAAUGGGAGGUAAAUUUCUUCUAAAGCUAAAUAUUGGCCAGAGACCGAUAGCGCACAAGUAGAGUGAUCGAAAGAUGAAAAGCACUUUGGAAAGAGAGUCAAAAAGCACGUGAAAUUGUUGAAAGGGAAGCGCUUGCAGCCAGACUUGCUCGUAGUUGCUCAUCCGAGCUUUUGCUCGGUGCACUCUUCUGCGGGCAGGCCAGCAUCAGUCCGGGCGGUCGGAUAAAGGCUCUGGGAAUGUAGCUCUCUUCGGGGAGUGUUAUAGCCCUGGGUGUCAUGCGACCAGUCUGAACUGAGGUCCGCGCAUCUGCUAGGAUGCUGGCGUAAUGGCUGUAAGCGGCCCGUCUUGAAACACGGACCAAGGAGUCUAACAUCUAUGCGAGUGUUUGGGUGUCAAGCCCGGGCGCGCAAUGAAAGUGAACGGAGGUGGGAACCCUUCGGGGCGCACCAUCGACCGAUCCUGAUGUCUUCGGAUGGAUUUGAGUAAGAGCAUAGCUGUUGGGACCCGAAAGAUGGUGAACUAUGCCUGAAUAGGGUGAAGCCAGAGGAAACUCUGGUGGAGGCUCGCAGCGGUUCUGACGUGCAAAUCGAUCGUCAAAUUUGGGCAUAGGGGCGAAAGACUAAUCGAACAUCAAC